Molecule: long non-coding RNA, 476 nt
Organism: Anopheles stephensi (Asian malaria mosquito)
Lineage: Eukaryota; Metazoa; Arthropoda; Insecta; Diptera; Culicidae
Exons: 2
Source: RefSeq, a predicted model, not a curated record
UCAGGUCGAGAAAUGUCAAUUUGCUCUAAACAACUCUACCUUCUAUAUCUACAUACCUUGCUCACGAGCCCAUGGGCUCUCUGCAUAACUCGCUAGCUAGCAGAGUAUGUGGGGCACAGACGAUCUAGAUGAUUUUUAUAUUCGAUCAUUCCGUAAGUGAUAGUGCUAUGAGAUCUCAGGAGAUCAAACCCUACCCUAAGGCUAAGGUCUAAUCAUUUAACAUUGGGCGCGCAUCUUCGGUAUAUAGGACUCAAUAGAUGACUCCAAAACUACAAAGCGCCUCUCAACGAAGAAAAGGAUAUGUUUGCUGGGGAAUGUACCAGGCUCCACUGGGAAAGAGGAAAAUGUGUACUCAAGAGAACACGUUUCAUGGAGGUACACACCUGAUGGGAAACGAAUUUAAUUCCUUGCUUUUCUUUGUAUAAUGGAAUAUUUAUAGACUUUAUUUACUGCACGACGCCACGACGAUAACGAUA